AUAAUGAGACUUCCGUAACUCGCGGCCCGCCAUAAAGAAGGCGAGGUGGGGAGAUCCCCCAAUGA
Molecule: non-coding RNA, 65 nt
Filed under: unclassified sequences
Description: pemK RNA
Rfam family: pemK RNA
Source: RNAcentral